AUACGGAGGUUGCAAGCGUUGUUCGGAUUUAUUGGGCGUAAAGCGAGUGUAGGCGGUUUGACAAGUCGAAUGUGAAAUCCCGAGGCCCAACCUCGGAACUGCAUCCGAAACUGUCAGGCUAGAGUCCCGGAGAGGAUGGCGGAAUUCCCGGUGUAGGGGUGAAAUCCGUAGAUAUCGGGAGGAACACCAGUGGCGAAGGCGGCCAUCUGGACGGUGACUGACGCUGAGACUCGAAAGUGUGGGUAGCAAACAGGAUUAGAAACCCUAGUAGUCC
RNAcentral lists this ribosomal RNA (274 nucleotides) under uncultured bacterium. RNAcentral describes it as "partial 16S ribosomal RNA". It matches the Rfam family "Bacterial small subunit ribosomal RNA", at positions 523 to 796 of the family's 1533-position model. The record is from RNAcentral.